AUGAGGCCACUCAGCAUUUUGUUUCUAUUGGUAGCAAUAUUAACAGAUCUGAGUCAUGGAGAUUCCGUCACUCAGUCACUCCCCUCGGUUGUUCGGACAAAAGGAGAUGAGGUGACUCUAAGCUGUACCUAUGAAACUACAGUGAGUUACUAUACAUUUUAUUGGUACCAGCAACGCCGAGACACCCAGCCGGAAUUUAUUCUGUGGAAGUAUAGCGAUGGUUCUGAAAGUAAAGCAAGUUUCGCGGAAGAUCGUUUCUCUGCAGAACUUCAGACCUCAAAGAAAUUCACCAGUUUGACUAUAAGCGGGCUGCAGCUCUCUGACACUGCCAUGUAUUACUGUGCUUUAUUGGAUGACACAAUGAUGAGAAACAGUCUUGCCCCUGUACAAAAACUUCCUUGA
Non-coding RNA from Chiloscyllium plagiosum (whitespotted bambooshark), 402 nucleotides. NCBI's taxonomy places the organism in Eukaryota, Metazoa, Chordata, Chondrichthyes, Orectolobiformes, Hemiscylliidae. The record is from the annotation of a RefSeq genome assembly.